Molecule: regulatory RNA element, 46 nt
Organism: Acanthisitta chloris (rifleman)
Lineage: Eukaryota; Metazoa; Chordata; Aves; Passeriformes; Acanthisittidae
Rfam family: Histone 3' UTR stem-loop
About the family: The mRNAs of metazoan histone genes lack a poly-A tail. 3' end processing occurs at a site between a highly conserved stem-loop (modelled by this family) and a purine rich region around 20 nts downstream (the histone downstream element, or HDE). The stem-loop is bound by a 31 kDa stem-loop binding protein (SLBP - also termed the histone hairpin binding protein, or HBP).
Source: Rfam
CCAACGGCUCUUUUAAGAGCCACCUAAGUUUUCUUUUAAAAGGCUG